UACGUAGGGGGCAAGCGUUGUCCGGAUUUAUUGGGCGUAAAGAGCGUGUAGGCGGCCAGACAGGUCCGUUGUGAAAACUGGAGGCUUAACCUUCAGACGUCGAUGGAAACCGUCUGGCUAGAGUCCGGAAGAGGAGAGUGGAAUUCCUGGUGUAGCGGUGAAAUGCGCAGAUAUCAGGAAGAACACCCGUGGCUAAGGCGGCUCUCUAGUACGGUACUGACGCUGAGACGCGAAAGCGUGGGGAGCGAACAGGAUUAGAUACCCGAGUAGUCC
This 273-nucleotide ribosomal RNA is filed under the name uncultured bacterium. Its description in RNAcentral is "partial 16S ribosomal RNA". It matches the Rfam family "Bacterial small subunit ribosomal RNA", at positions 524 to 796 of the family's 1533-position model. The record is from RNAcentral.